This 499-nucleotide ribosomal RNA is filed under the name uncultured bacterium. RNAcentral describes it as "bacterial SSU rRNA". It matches the Rfam family "Bacterial small subunit ribosomal RNA", at positions 8 to 507 of the family's 1533-position model. The record is from RNAcentral.
AGAGUUUGAUCCUGGCUCAGGAUGAACGCUAGCGGGAGGCCUAACACAUGCAAGCCGAGCGGUAUUGUUUCUUCGGAAAUGAGAGAGCGGCGUACGGGUGCGGAACACGUGUGCAACCUGCCUUUAUCUGGGGGAUAGCCUUUCGAAAGGAAGAUUAAUACUCCAUAAUAUAUUGAACGGCAUCGUUUAAUAUUGAAAGCUCCGGCGGAUAGAGAUGGGCACGCGCAAGAUUAGCUAGUUGGUGAGGUAACGGCUCACCAAGGCGAUGAUCUUUAGGGGCCUGAGAGGGUGAUCCCCCACACUGGUACUGAGACACGGACCAGACUCCUACGGGAGGCAGCAGUGAGGAAUAUUGGUCAAUGGGUGCAAGCCUGAACCAGCCAUCCCGCGUGAAGGACGGACUGCCCUAUGGGUUGUAAACUUCUUUUGUAUAGGGAUAAACCUACCCUCGUGAGGGUAGCUGAAGGUACUAUACGAAUAAGCACCGGCUAACUCCGUG